GUAGUCCACGCUGUAAACGAUGAGUGCUAGCUGUUGGGAACUUAGUUCUCAGUGGCGCCGUUAACACAUUAAGCACUCCGCCUGGGGAGUACGGUCGCAAGAUUAAAACUCAAAGGAAUUGACGGGGACCCGCACAAGCGGUGGAGCAUGUGGUUUAAUUCGAGGCAACGCGAAGAACCUUACCAGGCCUUGACAUGGGAAGUAUGGACCUUAGAAAUUUGGUCCUUCAGUUCGGCUGGCUUCCACACAGGUGCUGCAUGGCUGUCGUCAGCUCGUGUCGUGAGAUGUUGGGUUAAGUCCCGCAACGAGCGCAACCCUCGUCCUCUGUUGCUAACAGGUAAUGCUGAGAACUCUGAGGAAACUGCCGGCGUUAAGCCGGA
RNAcentral lists this ribosomal RNA (380 nucleotides) under uncultured bacterium. RNAcentral's name for it is "bacterial SSU rRNA". It matches the Rfam family "Bacterial small subunit ribosomal RNA", at positions 790 to 1167 of the family's 1533-position model. The record is from RNAcentral.